Molecule: ribosomal RNA, 468 nt
Filed under: uncultured bacterium
Lineage: Bacteria
Description: partial 16S ribosomal RNA
Rfam family: Bacterial small subunit ribosomal RNA
Source: RNAcentral
GAUGAACGCUGGCGGCGUGCUUAACACAUGCAAGUCGAACGGAAAGGCCAGUGCUUGCACUGGUACUCGAGUGGCGAACGGGUGAGUAACACGUGGGUGAUCUGCCCUGUACUUCGGGAUAAGCUUGGGAAACUGGGUCUAAUACCGGAUAGGACAACUUUUUGGAUAUUGUUGUGGAAAGCUUUUGCGGUAUGGGAUGAGCUCGCGGCCUAUCAGCUUGUUGGUGGGGUAAUGGCCUACCAAGGCGUCGACGGGUAGCCGGCCUGAGAGGGUGUACGGCGACAUUGGGACUGAGAUACGGCCCAGACUCCUACGGGAGGCAGCAGUGGGGAAUAUUGCACAAUGGGCGCAAGCCUGAUGCAGCGACGCCGCGUGGGGGAUGAAGGCCUUCGGGUUGUAAACUCCUUUCGCUAGGGACGAAGCUUUUUUGUGACGGUACCUGGAGAAGAAGCACCGGCUAACUACGUG